GAAAAAAGUAAAUGUUAGAAGACCCACUUCAGUUGAAGCAGUGGCAUCAAUAACGUAUUUUUUUAAGCUGUAAUCUUUUUCCCUUUAUGGACGUUUGUCUUUGAACUGAUGAUUGUGUACGACAGAGGUUGUUCUGCAGAAUACCUGUCGCGUGUUAGUACUGUCUACUGUCUUAUUGUCUUAUUUCUUUACCUCAGACAAGUUCAUGAAUGCUCCUGCAGGGCACUUUUGAUGACACCAGUUCAGGGGAAACCAGAGCAGAUAAAUGGAAAUGAGGGAGACAAGAUGACAUUUAACAAAAGUCCCGGCUAGACUCACCAUUCAUUUGUAGAAGGAUCUUUAGAGACAUUAUUAUUAGUAUUCAAGCCAUCAUUGAUUUAUUAGAGUCACGUUUUAAAUCUGUAAACUCCUUGACAUACUAUCCAGUUAAUUGGACUAAUCCACUUUAUUGUCCAUUUUAACAGCUACAUCAUCCAGGGUACACAUAAUUUAUUUUUAAGUGACUUAAAAGUGCACAAAUGCAGUAAUCUGACUGUGUAACAAUACGUGCAGUAAUAACUACUCUAAGACGGAUAUGAACACUUUACUUACUUUACAUUGUGUUUGCUGUCAUGUAUCUCCGCUUUGACUUUUGAAUGUGAAUGUUCCUUUUGUCCCCGAGGACUCAUAACUAAAUUAGCAAAUGGCAUGAAUAAAUAUUAUUCUUUGUGUAGAUAAAUAUAAUCUAGUUCAUAUGAAUAGGUUCAAAUUAAUAAUGUGUAAAUUUAGACUCAACCAAACUGUGGAAACACUUUAUAACAUCCAAUGACAGUAGAAAGGCUUUCACAAAAGAACUUAACUAUUCAGCAAUCAUUCAAAUAUUUUCAAUAAACAUCACGUGUCUUUAAAUCGUUAAUGUAAUUUUGAAUGUAUCGUAAACAUACAGGUAAAUGCUGUAGGUAUACUGUGUGCAAAUAUGACCGGGAGAGUGUAACUUCAUUGAACACAUGAACACCUUUUUGUGCCAUCUUCUUACCAUUUACCUUUGAUCAUCUUACAUCUGACCAAAACAAACCUUUUAAAUUGAAGCACAGUUUGUUAAGAAAACGCCUCAUUACUCUGAUUUUGUAUAAUGUCUUUGUCACACAGAAAGAGUUUCUCUCCUGCUGGAACUUCAUUGUUGUAUGUUCAUGUUGUCAUUGUAGAUACCAUUGAAAGCUGUGCACUGUGUGAAGCUAUGUACUUCCAAGGAAUAUUAUACAAAGAUUUGUUGAAAUAAAAAUAAAUGGAUAAAAGAGAGA
Molecule: long non-coding RNA, 1280 nt
Organism: Gasterosteus aculeatus aculeatus (three-spined stickleback)
Lineage: Eukaryota; Metazoa; Chordata; Actinopteri; Perciformes; Gasterosteidae
Source: Ensembl